RNAcentral lists this transfer RNA (85 nucleotides) under Piridium sociabile. RNAcentral describes it as "tRNA-Leu". It matches the Rfam family "tRNA". From Rfam's summary of the family: Transfer RNA (tRNA) molecules are approximately 80 nucleotides in length. The record is from RNAcentral. Lineage: Eukaryota; Vitrellaceae.
AUAACUGUGGCGAAAUUAGGUAAACGCACUAGAUUUAGAAUCUAGCAAAUAAAUAUUUAUAAGAGUUCAAGUCUCUUCAGUUAUA